GCCUACGGGGCGCAGCAGUAGGGAAUCUUCCACAAUGGACGAAAGUCUGAUGGAGCAACGCCGCGUGAGUGAAGAAGGGUUUCGGCUCGUAAAGCUCUGUUGGUAGUGAAGAAAGAUAGAGGUAGUAACUGGCCUUUAUUUGACGGUAAUUACUUAGAAAGUCAUGGCUAACUACGUGCCAGCAGCCGCGGUAAUACGUAGGGGGCAAGCGUUGUCCGGAUUUAUUGGGCAUAAAGCGAGUGCAGGCGG
Molecule: ribosomal RNA, 249 nt
Filed under: uncultured bacterium
Lineage: Bacteria
Description: partial 16S ribosomal RNA
Rfam family: Bacterial small subunit ribosomal RNA
Source: RNAcentral